ACAAAAAGACAACUUUUGCUCUUAUUCAGAGGCAGCACCUACCCUCCAACAUUUUGCAGAUGAAAACCAGGGCACAAGCAGCCAAAGAACAUCAGUUUGUUCAAGAUGGCAACGGUUAUUAAUGAGGAAGAACACACAAAUUAGGAGAGGCUGCAACAGUUUGUCGGAGUCCACUGGAAAGGGAGAUGCAGUGGGGCAAAGCCCAGAAGGUCUCCUGGAACAGGGGCUUACAUGGAACCUUGGCCUCCUACAAUUCCCCACGUGUACCAUGUAGCAUUAAUGAAAAAGGAUGCUAUCUCCUGGUUCAAGAGAGAAGCUGGAGAAACAAGCCACAAUUGGGUUCAGACACAACAAACCACUGCUUAAUUAUGCCAAAGAUAAACCAAUAACCACCCAAGGCUUCUAAUUGUAGUUUACAGCUAGCUAACAAACAAUGGUUUGCCUCAUGGAUAGAUUUGGACACAACAACAAUCCAGGAUUCAACCAACCACAAUCUGACUUACUAUUACAUAUGAAUCCACCUAUACACACCCAUGUGCUAAAUGUAACAAACAAACAAACAGUUUAUUCAUGACAACCAAAUACAGGUUAUAGACAUCAAAUUACAAAAAUAAUUAAAACCCUUUAAAACUUCCACAGUCAGUUAGUUCUAUAACAUAUAGAGCGAUAUGUUUACACUAAAAUUAUAAAAAAUAUUUCAUACAAAAACAUAUCACAAUUUUCCAUACUGCAUUCAAAUGUUUACUGCAGAUUUCCAUGCAGGCCUUUAUCCUCAAAGUCUAAUCUAAGUUUAGCUGCUCUCACAGCAAAUCUAGCAGUGUUGAACAUAACAGACUUAGUUGUAUCAGCUAACAAGUAGGUGAUUUUCUUCAAGUCAUUUUGGUUAGCUACAAGUUCUAAGCUUCUCUUGAGAAACUUAUCUCUUGGGGUUUUAUAUAUCUUACAAUAUAGCAUAUAGUGUAUGGUGUCUUCAAUAUCCCCACUUCCACAAAUGCAAGUACGCUGCUCCUUGGGAAUCUUUUUAUAUUUCCUUU
Long non-coding RNA from Sceloporus undulatus (fence lizard), 1034 nucleotides. RefSeq lists it as uncharacterized. The record is from RefSeq and is a predicted model, not a curated record. NCBI's taxonomy places the organism in Eukaryota, Metazoa, Chordata, Lepidosauria, Squamata, Phrynosomatidae. The transcript is spliced from 3 exons.